RNAcentral lists this ribosomal RNA (415 nucleotides) under Escherichia coli. RNAcentral describes it as "partial 23S ribosomal RNA". It matches the Rfam family "Bacterial large subunit ribosomal RNA", at positions 2223 to 2640 of the family's 2925-position model. The record is from RNAcentral. Lineage: Bacteria; Pseudomonadati; Pseudomonadota; Gammaproteobacteria; Enterobacterales; Enterobacteriaceae.
CGUUGACCCGUAAUCCGGGUUGCGGACAGUGUCUGGUGGGUAGUUUGACUGGGGCGGUCUCCUCCUAAAGAGUAACGGAGGAGCACGAAGGUUGGCUAAUCCUGGUCGGACAUCAGGAGGUUAGUGCAAUGGCAUAAGCCAGCUUGACUGCGAGCGUGACGGCGCGAGCAGGUGCGAAAGCAGGUCAUAGUGAUCCGGUGGUUCUGAAUGGAAGGGCCAUCGCUCAACGGAUAAAAGGUACUCCGGGGAUAACAGGCUGAUACCGCCCAAGAGUUCAUAUCGACGGCGGUGUUUGGCACCUCGAUGUCGGCUCAUCACAUCCUGGGGCUGAAGUAGGUCCCAAGGGUAUGGCUGUUCGCCAUUUAAAGUGGUACGCGAGCUGGGUUUAGAACGUCGUGAGACAGUUCGGUCCCUA